RNAcentral lists this ribosomal RNA (31 nucleotides) under Epicoccum sp. RNAcentral describes it as "partial 28S ribosomal RNA". The record is from RNAcentral. Lineage: Eukaryota; Fungi; Ascomycota; Dothideomycetes; Pleosporales; Didymellaceae.
AGGUAGGGAUACCCGCUGAACUUAAGCAUAU